RNAcentral lists this unclassified non-coding RNA (428 nucleotides) under Peniophora lycii. RNAcentral describes it as "sequence contains 18S rRNA gene, ITS1, 5.8S rRNA gene, ITS2, 28S rRNA gene". The stretch from base 93 to 246 matches the Rfam family "5.8S ribosomal RNA". The record is from RNAcentral. Lineage: Eukaryota; Fungi; Basidiomycota; Agaricomycetes; Russulales; Peniophoraceae.
CGAGCCGAAUGAGAGAUCGGAGGCUCGCAUGCAACCCUUAACAUACCCCAAUGAAGUAUCAGAAUGUACCUUGCGUUAACUCGCACAAAUAUAACUUUCAACAACGGAUCUCUUGGCUCUCGCAUCGAUGAAGAACGCAGCGAAAUGCGAUAAGUAAUGUGAAUUGCAGAAUUCAGUGAAUCAUCGAAUCUUUGAACGCACCUUGCGCCCCUUGGCAUUCCGAGGGGCACGCCUGUUUGAGUGUCGUGAACUCCUCCACCCUCUACCUUUUUCGAAGGGCAUUGGGCUGGGAUUUGGGAGCUUGCGGGUCCCUGGCCGAUCCGCUCUCCUUGAAUACAUUAGCGAAGCCCUUGCGGCCUUGGUGUGAUAGACAUCUACUCCUCGGCUUAGCGAACAUAUGGGAAUCGCUUCCAACCGUCUCGCAAGAG